UACGUAGGCAGCGAGCGUUGUUCGGAGUUACUGGGCGUAAAGGGUGUGUAGGCGGUUCUCUAAGUUUGGUGUGAAAUCUCCCGGCUCAACCCGGAGGGUGCGCCGAAAACUGGAGGGCUAGAGUGCGGGAAGGGAGAGUAGAAUUCCUGGUGUAGCGGUGAAAUGCGUAGAUAUCAGGAGGAAUACCGGUGGUGCAGACGGCUCUCUGGACCGAGACUGACGCUGAGACACGAAAGCGUGGGUAGCAAACAGG
Molecule: ribosomal RNA, 253 nt
Filed under: uncultured bacterium
Lineage: Bacteria
Description: partial 16S ribosomal RNA
Rfam family: Bacterial small subunit ribosomal RNA
Source: RNAcentral